RNAcentral lists this long non-coding RNA (244 nucleotides) under Brassica napus (rape). RNAcentral describes it as "long non-coding RNA (BNAP_LNC013384)". The record is from RNAcentral. Lineage: Eukaryota; Viridiplantae; Streptophyta; Magnoliopsida; Brassicales; Brassicaceae.
ACCAACCGCAAAAGCUGCGUUUGCGGGUGGUAGCGGGAAAACCAGUCUUACCCUUGUCAUUAGGGCUUCAUUAGUUGUUAGCGUUCUUCCACACUUCGAGUGUGAUUGGUAACAUCAGAGUAAAGUGGAGUAAAAAAAAGUGGUGAAAAAGAGGAAAAUAAAUGGUGGAAAAAUGUGAGAGAGAAAAGAAUCUGGAAUAACAUGAGUGUACCUAAAGCUAGAGGAAAAAUAGGUGUAUAUUUCC